Non-coding RNA from Misgurnus anguillicaudatus (oriental weatherfish), 329 nucleotides. Lineage: Eukaryota; Metazoa; Chordata; Actinopteri; Cypriniformes; Cobitidae. The record is from RefSeq and is a predicted model, not a curated record.
ACUAUUUUACACAUGUUCACGAAAACUUGGCAGCUUGUGGAGGAGGUCCUAAAAAUCCACCAGCUUGUUUAGUGGCGGCACGUGAGGGAGCAAGACCCAGCAUCUUCUGGAUAUUCUGAGGAGAUCCAAGUAUUCAGAGGCUUGUGGGGUUAAUAUGACAUAACAGAUAGACCUUACCUGUCUAAUUGACAUGGUGCACAAGAUGUAGAGGAAGAUGAAAGAACAGUCAGUGUAAUCUUCACCAAGGAGAUUACGGUGCGAGAGGCCUUGGAUGUAAGACAAAGGGACGAAAGGAAGUUUGGCCACAACACGACCAUCAAAGCUGGAAU